UGGGGAAUCUUCCGCAAUGGGCGAAAGCCUGACGGAGCAAUGCCGCGUGGAGGUAGAAGGCCCACGGGUCGUAAACUCCUUUUCUCGGAGAAGAAUCAAUGACGGUAUCUGAGGAAUAAGCAUCGGCUAACUCUGUGCCAGCAGCCGCGGUAAGACAGAGGAUGCAAGCGUUAUCCGGAAUGAUUGGGCGUAAAGCGUCUGUAGGUGGCUCUUUAAGUCCGCUGUCAAAUCCCAGGGCUCAACCCUGGAGAGGCGGUGGAAACUAUUGGGCUGGAGUACGGUAGGGGCAGAGGGAAUUUCCGGUGGAGCGGUGAAAUGCGUAGAGAUCGGAAAGAACACCAAAGGCGAAGGCACUCUGCUGGGCCGACACUGACACUGAGGGACGAAAGCUAGGGGAGCA
This 400-nucleotide ribosomal RNA is filed under the name uncultured bacterium. RNAcentral's name for it is "bacterial SSU rRNA". It matches the Rfam family "Bacterial small subunit ribosomal RNA", at positions 355 to 770 of the family's 1533-position model. The record is from RNAcentral.